RNAcentral lists this ribosomal RNA (497 nucleotides) under uncultured bacterium. RNAcentral's name for it is "partial 16S ribosomal RNA". It matches the Rfam family "Bacterial small subunit ribosomal RNA", at positions 28 to 507 of the family's 1533-position model. The record is from RNAcentral.
GACGAACGCUGGCGGCGUGCCUAAUACAUGCAAGUUGAGCGAUGAAGAUUGGUGCUUGCACCAAUUUGAAGAGCAGCGAACGGGUGAGUAACGCGUGGGGAAUCUGCCUUUGAGCGGGGGACAACAUUUGGAAACGAAUGCUAAUACCGCAUAACAACUUUAAACAUAAGUUUUAAGUUUGAAAGAUGCAAUUGCAUCACUCAAAGAUGAUCCCGCGUUGUAUUAGCUAGUUGGUGAGGUAAAGGCUCACCAAGGCGAUGAUACAUAGCCGACCUGAGAGGGUGAUCGGCCACAUUGGGACUAAGACACGGCCCAAACUCCUACGGGAGGCAGCAGUAGGGAAUCUUCGGCAAUGGACGAAAGCCUGACCGAGCAACGCCGCGUGAGUGAAGAAGGUUUUCGGAUCGUAAAACUCUGUUGGUAGAGAAGAACGUUGGUGAGAGUGGAAAGCUCAUCAAGUGACGGUAACUACCCAGAAAGGGACGGCUAACUACGUG